Molecule: ribosomal RNA, 460 nt
Filed under: uncultured bacterium
Lineage: Bacteria
Description: partial 16S ribosomal RNA
Rfam family: Bacterial small subunit ribosomal RNA
Source: RNAcentral
CCUACGGGUGGCAGCAGUGAGGAAUAUUGGUCAAUGGACGAGAGUCUGAACCAGCCAAGUAGCGUGAAGGAUGACUGCCCUAUGGGUUGUAAACUUCUUUUAUAUGGGAAUAAAACGUUCCACGUGUGGGAUUUUGUAUGUACUAUAUGAAUAAGCAUCGGCUAACUCCGUGCCAGCCGCCGCGGUAAUACGGAGGAUCCGAGCGUGCUCCGGAUUUAUUGGGUUUAAAGGGAGCGUAGGCGGAUUGUUAAGUCAGUUGUGAAAGUUUGAGGCUCAACCGUAGAAUUGCAGUUGAAACUGGCAGGCUUGAGUACAGUAGAGGUGGGCGGAAUUCGUGGUGUAGCGGUGAAAUGCUUAGAUAUCACGAAGAACUCCGAUUGCGAAGGCAGUUCACUGGACUGCAACUGACACUGAGGCUCGAAAGUGUGGGUAUCAAACAGGAUUAGAUACCCCAGUAGUC